RNAcentral lists this microRNA precursor (206 nucleotides) under Oryza barthii. Its description in RNAcentral is "MIR812 microRNA precursor family". It matches the Rfam family "MIR812 microRNA precursor family". The record is from Rfam by way of RNAcentral. Lineage: Eukaryota; Viridiplantae; Streptophyta; Magnoliopsida; Poales; Poaceae.
AAUAAGUGCAGCAAUGGUUUUCCGCGCCCAACUUUGACCAUUCGUCUUAUUUGAAAUUUUUUUGAAAAAAAAUUAAAAACAUAAGUCACGAGUAAAGUACUAUUCAUAUUUUAUCAUCUCAUAACAACAAAAAUGCUAAUUAUAAAAAAAUUUCAAAUAAGACGAACGAUCAAAGUUGAGCGCGAAAACUCAUGGCUGCACUUAUU